CAGUAGCCGCGGGAAUACGGAGGGGGCUAGCGUUGUUCGGAAUUACUGGGCGUAAAGCGCGCGUAGGCGGUUACUCAAGUCAGAGGUGAAAGCCCGGGGCCCAACCCCGGAACUGCCUUUGAAACUAGGUGACUAGAAUCUUGGAGAGGUCAGUGGAAUUCCGAGUGUAGAGGUGAAAUUCGUAGAUAUUCGGAGGAACACCAGUGGCGAAGGCGGCUCACUGGUCCAUUACUGACGCUGAGGUGCGAAAGCGUGGGGAGCAAACAGGAUUAGAUACCCAGUAGUCCCUGUCUCUUAUACA
Molecule: ribosomal RNA, 301 nt
Filed under: uncultured bacterium
Lineage: Bacteria
Description: partial 16S ribosomal RNA
Rfam family: Bacterial small subunit ribosomal RNA
Source: RNAcentral